UGCAAUUGCAAUUGCAAACCCACUUUUUCUUCAUUAGUGUAUACAAUUCUCUUUUUAAGUUUUGAAGAUUUCUCAAAAACAUUGCAACCAACUGUGGACUUUUGUUGUUUCCUUUUUAUAGUUAAGUCAUUUGAUGGCAUUUUCGUGACAACGGUUCCCCCUAAAAGUUGGAGACGGAAGUCAUCGAGUUAUGGCUAGGUGAUGGUGCAAAAGUGAUGUAGGUUAUUCUGCUAGUAAGAAAUCUGUUGUCUCGUUUUUAUGCUCACUUUUACUUGUUACCGGUGGUCCAGCGGUGGUGGUUGUUGGCAGUUAAAGGAGAUCGGUGGUUGUUCCUAUUGAUUGUUCCCGGAGAUGUUAAAAUGCGGUGAAGGAGGCUGGUGGUGGCUAUCGACAAUGGUUUAUGAGUCUGUAUGUGUAUAUGUAUUUUGUAUAGAGAUAGAAAUUGUGUAUGUUGUAUGUAUGCCUUAGAAGUUGUACUUUAUGCAAAUAAAAGAGUACUUUUAGCUGCAGUAUUA
Long non-coding RNA from Erigeron canadensis, 515 nucleotides. RefSeq lists it as uncharacterized. The transcript is spliced from 2 exons. The record is from RefSeq and is a predicted model, not a curated record. Lineage: Eukaryota; Viridiplantae; Streptophyta; Magnoliopsida; Asterales; Asteraceae.